AGAGUUUGAUCAUGGCUCAGAUUGAACGCUGGCGGCAGGCCUAACACAUGCAAGUCGAGCGGAUGAAGAGAGCUUGCUCUCUGAUUCAGCGGCGGACGGGUGAGUAAUGCCUAGGAAUCUGCCUGGUAGUGGGGGACAACGUCUCGAAAGGGACGCUAAUACCGCAUACGUCCUACGGGAGAAAGCAGGGGACCUUCGGGCCUUGCGCUAUCAGAUGAGCCUAGGUCGGAUUAGCUAGUUGGUGAGGUAAUGGCUCACCAAGGCGACGAUCCGUAACUGGUCUGAGAGGAUGAUCAGUCACACUGGAACUGAGACACGGUCCAGACUCCUACGGGAGGCAGCAGUGGGGAAUAUUGGACAAUGGGCGAAAGCCUGAUCCAGCCAUGCCGCGUGUGUGAAGAAGGUCUUCGGAUUGUAAAGCACUUUAAGUUGGGAGGAAGGGCAGUAAAUUAAUACUUUGCUGUUUUGACGUUACCGACAGAAUAAGCACCGGCUAACUCUGUGCCAGCAGCCGCGGUAAUACA
This 524-nucleotide ribosomal RNA is filed under the name uncultured bacterium. RNAcentral's name for it is "bacterial SSU rRNA". It matches the Rfam family "Bacterial small subunit ribosomal RNA", at positions 8 to 527 of the family's 1533-position model. The record is from RNAcentral.